AGCUAGGUCUAACAUUGUUAGGUCGUCAGCUUCUUAGAGGGACUAUCGGUGUUUAACCGAUGGAAGUUUGAGGCAAUAACAGGUCUGUGAUGCCCUUAGAUGUUCUGGGCCGCACGCGCGCUACACUGAUGAAGUCAACGAGUAAAUUUCCUUUGUCGAAAGAUAUGGGUAAUCUUCUGAAACUUCAUCGUGAUGGGGAUAGAGCAUUGCAAUUAUUGCUCUUCAACGAGGAAUCCCUAGUAAGCACAAGUCAUCAGCUUGUGUUGAUUACGUCCCUGCCCUUUGUACACACCGCCCGUCGCUACUACCGAUUGAAUGGCUUAGUGAGACCUUCGGAUCGGCAUUCAGAAGUUGGAAACAACAUUUGUUUGCUGAAAAGUUGUUCAAACUUGGUCAUUUAGAGGAAGUAAAAGUCGUAACAAGGUUUCCGUAGGUGAACCUGCGGAAGGAUCAUUAAUGAUUUUUUAAAGCAAACCAAAGCGAAAGCGAAGGUUUUGCGAAUAUAUUUAAAACCCCACUCUUAAAAAAAAUUUUUUCAUUCAUAAAUAUGAAUAAAAAAGAUCACUUUCAACAACGGAUCUCUUGGCUCUCGCAUCGAUGAAGAACGCAGCGAAAUGCGAUAAGUAGUGUGAAUUGCAGAAUUACGUGAAUCAUCGAAUCUUUGAACGCAAAUUGCACUCUCUGGUAUUCCGGGGAGUAUGCCUGUUUGAGGGUCAUAGUAAACCCAUCGAUUUUCAUUGCUUUUUUUUUAAGGUGAUGUUUUAUCGGAUUUGAGCGGUCUUUUUUUUUUUUAAAUAUUAAAGUGGCUUAAAAUUGAUUUUAUCUGGUAUGAUUAAGCGUAUUUUAUGAUCAAUUUUUGAUUUAAGAAACGCGUACGUACCAUCACAUGAUGUAAUACGUUUGACUAUUUGAUUUAGUUCAUUCGUAUACGAUCUUUUUCAAUGUUUGACCUCAAAUCAGGUAAGAAUACCCGCUGAACUUAAGCAUAUCAA
RNAcentral lists this ribosomal RNA (992 nucleotides) under uncultured Glomus. RNAcentral describes it as "bacterial SSU rRNA". The stretch from base 1 to 456 matches the Rfam family "Eukaryotic small subunit ribosomal RNA", at positions 1357 to 1831 of the family's 1831-position model. The record is from RNAcentral. Lineage: Eukaryota; Fungi; Glomeromycota; Glomeromycetes; Glomerales; Glomeraceae.